Cinara cedri is the source of this 916-nucleotide non-coding RNA. Lineage: Eukaryota; Metazoa; Arthropoda; Insecta; Hemiptera; Aphididae. The record is from the annotation of a GenBank genome assembly.
UGGACAUACUUCACGCAUGGGUGCAGCCACUGUUGUAGGUGGGAAGUUGGGAAGAUAGGAUACAGGUGGGAAUUUUAUCUAUAUAUAUAUGUAAGUAACGAUAAACCAUUGCUAACGAAAAAUGAUUCUGAGCGGAGUUCAGUUGAUAGUGUUGCAUUGUCAACAAUAUAUUUGUCAUUUUGUAGUAAAAUAAUUAAAAAAGCUUUACAUAUUUUCUUCAAUACAAUUUUUUUAAUGUUGCAUCAAUUUUAUAAAUAUUUCAACACCGAUAAAAACAUGACAAAAACAAAAUUAACAAAAUCAUUAAUUAUCUCAAGAACAUUUUGGCAAACAUCGUGUGACUCACAUAAGGGUUACAUGACAGUCAACCUGUUUUAAGCACAAAAAUAAUAAUUCAAUAAUCGUACACGCAAAAAUAAUCUGGUUGUCUCGUGUCUUGUUGUGUAGUCUGUAUAUAUCUUUAGUCGGGGUAUAAGGUCUAUGCGUUAUACCUAUGGUUGUCUUAACAUAUACCAACAUUAUUAUCAUUCUAACCGUGGAUAACUUAUCUCUUGUGUAUCUCAUUUUACCAUUGAGUAAUAUAGAUUAUAGAGGAGCCUUUCGAUUUUGGAUUGAAGCGAAAGAGGUCUACUUAGAGCAUUUUCCACCUAACUGCACCGACUGCACUAGUGUAGAUUUUUAUGUUUUAUAUGGAAUAUAGGGGCACAUUUAGGGCCAGUUGUACAGUUCGUGAUUAAAUUAUAAUCAAUAAUUAAGACCUUCGAUCUGUUGUACAAUGCUGAUUAGCAUUAUUUGAAAUCGUUUCAUGGUCGGCUCAUUUAACACAUAGCCCUCUCCACUAUCACAAUAGUUGUAUUUACACAUACGAUAUUAUUAUUAUCAAAGUAUUAUCAUCUAUGAUUUAAUCAACUCUCAG